UACGAAGGGGGCGAGCGUUGUUCGGAAUUAUUGGGCGUAAAGGGUGCGUAGGCGGUUCCGCAAGUCCUGUGUGAAAUCUUCGGGCUCAACUCGAAGUCUGCACGGGAAACUGCGGGGCUUGAGUGUGGGAGAGGUGAGUGGAAUUCCUGGUGUAGCGGUGAAAUGCGCAGAUAUCAGGAGGAACACCAAUGGCGAAGGCAGCUCGCUGGGACGUGACUGACGCUGAGACGCGAAAGCGUGGGGAGCAAACAGG
Molecule: ribosomal RNA, 253 nt
Filed under: uncultured bacterium
Lineage: Bacteria
Description: partial 16S ribosomal RNA
Rfam family: Bacterial small subunit ribosomal RNA
Source: RNAcentral